UUUUCCUGCACGGCUUGAGGGUCUGCUCCAUGAAAAAGGCCCGGCGCAUCAAGCUGCCGGGCCUUAUUAUCGUCGGU
This 77-nucleotide small RNA is filed under the name Allorhizobium ampelinum S4. RNAcentral describes it as "Agrobacterium vitis S4 suhB". Lineage: Bacteria; Pseudomonadati; Pseudomonadota; Alphaproteobacteria; Hyphomicrobiales; Rhizobiaceae. The record is from RNAcentral.